CACUCCUACGGGAGGCAGCAGUGGGGAAUUUUGGACAAUGGGCGAAAGCCUGAUCCAGCCAUGCCGCGUGCAGGAUGAAGGCCUUCGGGUUGUAAACUGCUUUUGUACGGAACGAAACGGCCUUUUCUAAUAAAGAGGGCUAAUGACGGUACCGUAAGAAUAAGCACCGGCUAACUACGUGCCAGCAGCCGCGGUAAUACGUAGGGUGCAAGCGUUAAUCGGAAUUACUGGGCGUAAAGCGUGCGCAGGCGGUUAUGUAAGACAGUUGUGAAAUCCCCGGGCUCAACCUGGGAACUGCAUCUGUGACUGCAUAGCUAGAGUACGGUAGAGGGGGAUGGAAUUCCGCGUGUAGCAGUGAAAUGCGUAGAUAUGCGGAGGAACACCGAUGGCGAAGGCAAUCCCCUGGACCUGUACUGACGCUCAUGCACGAAAGCGUGGGGAGCAAACAGGAUUAGAAACCCCAGUAGUCCCA
This 472-nucleotide ribosomal RNA is filed under the name uncultured organism. RNAcentral describes it as "partial 16S ribosomal RNA". It matches the Rfam family "Bacterial small subunit ribosomal RNA", at positions 334 to 797 of the family's 1533-position model. The record is from RNAcentral.